Molecule: ribosomal RNA, 425 nt
Filed under: uncultured bacterium
Lineage: Bacteria
Description: partial 16S ribosomal RNA
Rfam family: Bacterial small subunit ribosomal RNA
Source: RNAcentral
GUGGGGAAUAUUGGACAAUGGGCACAAGCCUGAUCCAGCCAUGCCGCGUGAGUGAUGAAGGCCUUAGGGUUGUAAAGCUCUUUCAGUAGGGAAGAUAAUGACGGUACCUACAGAAGAAGCCCCGGCUAACUUCGUGCCAGCAGCCGCGGUAAUACGAAGGGGGCUAGCGUUGUUCGGAUUUACUGGGCGUAAAGCGCACGUAGGCGGAUUGGUCAGUUAGAGGUGAAAUCCCGAAGCUCAACUUCGGAACUGCCUUUAAUACUGCCAGUCUCGAGUCCGGAAGAGGUGAGUGGAACUCCUAGUGUAGAGGUGGAAUUCGUAGAUAUUAGGAAGAACACCAGUGGCGAAGGCGGCUCACUGGUCCGGUACUGACGCUGAGGUGCGAAAGCGUGGGGAGCAAACAGGAUUAGAUACCCCGGUAGUCC